This 414-nucleotide long non-coding RNA is filed under the name Lactuca sativa (garden lettuce). Its description in RNAcentral is "long non-coding RNA (LSAT_LNC008085)". The record is from RNAcentral. Lineage: Eukaryota; Viridiplantae; Streptophyta; Magnoliopsida; Asterales; Asteraceae.
AUGUUUUCAUCUCCUAACCUGCAGUAGCUGAGAUCCAACUCUCGUAAGUCUCUCAGACAAAACUGUAACCCUAUGUUGUUCAUGUUGUUGUCACGUAAGCAAGUCUUCAUGUUGUUUUUAGCUAAAGGCUCCUGUGAACACCAUUCUACACCAGGAAUAUUGCUGCAACAACACCUCCAACAAUUAACAAAAAAGUUUGCACAUGAUUCUAUAUAAGAUGCAACUUCUUUCCUUCUAUUAUCGAAAUCAAGACAUGGUAAAUUCUCCAUGUUCUCUUCUUGAAUCUCUGAGAACUUAAAAAGUUUGCUGCACCCUGUGAAUGAAAGGAUCUCAAGUUUCUGUAGUUUGGGAAUGGGUGGGAACCUUUUAAGAUUGAAACAACUUGAUAUGGAUAAGGAAACAAGCCUUUCCAAG